AAUAUUAAUCUCGUGCUCAUGUUCUUCCGAGUUGUCUGCUUCGUUUUUGUAUAAAAGUUAUCUUGACCACAACUCAAGUCUGAACUCCAGAGAGAGAGAGAGAGACAGAGAAAGAAUAACUAACGAGACAUUGAACUGAAAGAAAGAAAAAUGCAGAGUCUUCAGACUAGAACAGUUCAAGUAGGACAUGUCUCAGAUCUAGCAGGUGAAAGAGAGAUUGCUGAGUUUUUCUCAUUUUCUGGAGAUAUUGAACGGAUCGAGAUCCUUGGUGUUGGGCAGUCAAAGACGGCAUUCGUCACUUUUAAAGAUCCAAAAGCCCUUGAAAUUGCGUUAUUGUUAUCGGGAGCAACGAUUGUAGACCAGAUUGUUAGUAUAUCACCAGUUGAAAAUUAUGCACCAAAAGUGGAAGAACGAGUAAUAACGAUAGUGGAUGACGAGAAUGUACCCAUGGCCCAGGGUGACAACUUAUAUUCGAAUACGGAGACAAGAAGUAACUCUCCUAACAGUGGACGGGUAUACGUCAGUAAAGCUCAAGAUGUUGUUUCAAGUAUGCUGGCUAAGGGUUCAGCCAUUGGUCAAGAAGCUGUAAGUAGGGCAAAAGCAUUUGACGAGAAGCAUCAGUUGAGAGCCAGUGCAUCUGCCAAGGUGGUUUCCUUUGAUCGGAGAGUUGGGCUGACUGAGAAAUUGACAGUUGGAAUCUCUGUGGUCAAUGAGAAAGUAAAGUCUGUGGAUCAAAGAUUGCAGGUGUCGGAUAAAACAUUAGCCGCCAUAACUGCAGCAGAGCGCAAGUUGAAUGACACAGGUUCAGCUGUCAAAACAAGCAGCUUACCUGAUAGUCCGGAGUUCAAUUGAGAGCUUUCUCACCAUAUGCUUUAAGGAAAAGUAUACACGAAAAGCUUGAAAGCAAACAAUAUACAAUUUGAAUAGAUAGGAACAUUCGUGAAGAAGUGAGGCAUUGAUCCAUUUCCUAUAAGAAAGACAUAAUUUAGUAGCCUAUUACUUGCUACAUAUGUGGAUUUGAUGCAGGAGAUUGAUUAUGUCAGAUGCGGACUCUGUAUGCUUAACAAUCGGUCAUUCCCUGUCACCUGUCUGCACAAUAAGUGCAAAGAAAAAAUUUAGUUUCACUAUGUCUCUGUGGCACAUCAUUUCUUGCAGUUAGCCUGGGUGGUGUUGUUUAGAGCAGAUCCAUUGUUCAUUAAUGGAGAUUACAGGAUAGGAGGAGGCUUUUGUAACCCAUGGUACGUAACAGCAGGAGCAGCAUGGUUUAGUGGUGCUUUCAGCAAGGUUGCUAAGGUUGGACAAGUUGCGGGAACAAAAACUAGAGAAAAAUUUCAGCUAGCUGUAUCAAACCUAAAUUCAAAUGACCCUAUUGCUGCAUAAAAUUUCACUGUGCCGAAAAGUUGCUCGUUGGGAAUAUUUUUCCAAGGAAUAUGAUCUAGUACCCCCUUAAAGUCUUCCAACAAUUGAUUAUCGCAAAGUUAGAAGUUUGAAGGUACAUUGUAUACUAGUCAUGAUUGAAGAUUUAUGUGUCUGUGUGUGUGUGUCAUUAGACUGCUGUUAAGGUCUGUGUGGGUAUACAGUAUAAGUUAGUUUAUAAAUUCAUUCCAUUAUUUGUUUGUUUUCUUUUUCAGGGGGGUGGAUAUAUUAUAGUCUUCCCUGCAUUUUUCUGUAUGUAAACAUCACAUUUGUUAAUGAAAACACCUCCGCUUCUUCUAUCAGUU
Papaver somniferum (opium poppy) is the source of this 1721-nucleotide RNA transcript. It is a transcript of the gene named binding partner of ACD11 1-like, with no coding region annotated. Lineage: Eukaryota; Viridiplantae; Streptophyta; Magnoliopsida; Ranunculales; Papaveraceae. The transcript has 9 exons. The record is from RefSeq and is a predicted model, not a curated record.